Molecule: ribosomal RNA, 286 nt
Filed under: uncultured bacterium
Lineage: Bacteria
Description: partial 16S ribosomal RNA
Rfam family: Bacterial small subunit ribosomal RNA
Source: RNAcentral
GUUACCUACGGGGGGCAGCAGUGAGGAAUAUUGGUCAAUGGGCGCAAGCCUGAACCAGCCAAGUCGCGUGAGGGAAGACGGCCCUACGGGUUGUAAACCUCUUUUGCCGGGGAGCAAGCCUGAGCACGUGUGCCCAGGCGGAGAGUACCCGGAGAAAAAGCAUCGGCUAACUCCGUGCCAGCAGCCGCGGGAAUACGGAGGAUGCGAGCGUUAUCCGGAUUUAUUGGGAUUAAAGGGUGCGCAGGCGGGCUGUUAAGGCGGCGGGACAAAUUCAGGGCGCAACCCC